UACGUAGGGUGCAAGCGUUAUCCGGAAUUAUUGGGCGUAAAGAGCUCGUAGGCGGUUUGUCGCGUCUGCUGUGAAAACUGGAGGCUCAACCUCCAGCCUGCAGUGGGUACGGGCAGACUAGAGUGCGGUAGGGGAGAUUGGAAUUCCUGGUGUAGCGGUGGAAUGCGCAGAUAUCAGGAGGAACACCGGUGGCGAAGGCGGGUCUCUGGGCAACAACUGACGCUGAGGAGCGAAAGCGUGGGGAGCAAACAGG
Molecule: ribosomal RNA, 253 nt
Filed under: uncultured bacterium
Lineage: Bacteria
Description: partial 16S ribosomal RNA
Rfam family: Bacterial small subunit ribosomal RNA
Source: RNAcentral